CCUCUUGGCCUCUGAUAAGAGGUCCCGCCUGCCCUGUGACGAAAGUUUAACGGCCGCGGUAUUUUGACCGUGCGAAGGUAGCGUAAUCACUUGUCUUUUAAAUGAAGACCUGUAUGAAUGGCACAACGAGGGCUAAGCUGUCUCCUUUCCCCAGUCAAUGAAACUGAUCUUCCCGUGCAGAAGCGGGAAUACCAACAUAAGACGAGAAGACCCUAUGGAGCUUUAGACUCCGCAGCAGACCACGUUAAAACCCCUCAGCCACUAGAAAGAAACAAAGUGGCCCCUGCUACGAGUCUUUGGUUGGGGCGACCGCGGAGAAACAACAAACCCCCGCGUAGCACGGGCCACACCCCUGAAGCCAGAGCCACACCUCCAACGAACAGAAUGUCUGACUUUCAAGAUCCGGCAUUGCCGAUUAACGGACCAAGUUACCCUAGGGAUAACAGCGCAAUCCUCUUCUAGAGCUCAUAUCGCCAAGAGGGUUUACGACCUCGAUGUUGGAUCAGGACCACCUA
RNAcentral lists this ribosomal RNA (515 nucleotides) under Gobius sp. A PLM-1999. RNAcentral describes it as "partial 16S ribosomal RNA". It matches the Rfam family "Bacterial large subunit ribosomal RNA", at positions 1831 to 2549 of the family's 2925-position model. Lineage: Eukaryota; Metazoa; Chordata; Actinopteri; Gobiiformes; Gobiidae. The record is from RNAcentral.